Molecule: long non-coding RNA, 1676 nt
Organism: Oncorhynchus masou masou (cherry salmon)
Lineage: Eukaryota; Metazoa; Chordata; Actinopteri; Salmoniformes; Salmonidae
Exons: 2
Source: RefSeq, a predicted model, not a curated record
AAAUGUGCGCUCAGCACCCCCGGUGGAGUAAUAUUGUAAGAUCUGACAGGCGCCAGCAACACCUGGGCAGAGGAACGCGCCAUUGUGACCUGAACCCUAGGACCAUGCCUCAGGACGACCUGGCCUGAUGACUCCUUGCUGUCCCCAGUCCACUUGGCCGUGCUGCUGCUCCAAUUUCAACUGUUCAGCCUGCGGCUAUGGAACCCUGACCUGUUCACCGGAUGUGCUACCUGUCCCAAACCUGCUGGUUUCAACUCUCUGGAGACAGCAGGAGCGGUAGAGAUACUCAGAAUGAUCGGCUAUGAAAAGCCAACUGACAUUUACUCCUGAGGUGCUGACCUGUUGCACCCUCGACAACCACUAUGAUUAUUAUUAUUUGACCCUGCUGGUCAUCUAUGAACAUUUGAACAUCUUGGCCAUGUUCUGUUAUAAUCUCCACCUGGCACAGCCAGAAGAGGACUGGCCACCUCUCAUAGCCUGGUUCCUCUCUAGGUUUCUUCCUAGGUUCUGGCUUUUCAAGGGAGUUUUUCCUAGCCACUGUGCUUCUACACCUACAUUGCUUGCUGUUUGGGGUUUUAGGCUGGAUUUCUGUACAGCACUUUGAGACAUCAGCUGAUGUAAGAAGGGCUUUAUAAAUUGAUUUGAUUUGACCUUCUUAGUGAAAAAAACUGGACAUUUGUAAAUAAAAAAAUAACAAUAAUAAUAAUAUGUAAAUAAAAAAAGUUUUAUCUAUAAAAAUUUUAAAAAGAAAUAGUUGUGUUGGAUAACUGUUCCACUCUCCUUGUAAUAGCAAUCCUAAAUUAGCUCAGGUGUAACCGAUUACCUUCAAAAUCACACCAAGUUAAUUAAUUGGCUUCCAUCUGUGUUAAAUUGUAGUGAUUCACAUGAUUUCAGGAUAAAUUCAGCAGUUCCUGUAGGUGCCUCUGCUGGGUAGUGAAUUGCAAAGCAAACAUGAAACAUCAAGGAGCUUUCAAAAGAACUCGGGGACAAAGUUGUGGAAAGGCACAGAUUGGUAUAAAAAAAGGCCUUGAAUAUCCCUUGGAGCACAGUCAAGACAAUUAUUAAGAAGUAGAAUGUGUAUGGCACUACCUAGACCAAGCCGUCCCUCCAAACUGGAUGACCGAGCAAGUAGGAGACUGAUCAGAGGGGCUACCAAGAGUCCAAUGGCAACUUUCUUAUUUUAUGGUAUUACAGCGGUCUGCAAAUAAGCCAACGGCAACUUUGAAAGAGCUACAAGCUUUUAUGGCUAAGACUAGUCAAAGUGUGCAUGUGACAAUAUCCCAAAGCACUCCACAAAUUUGGCAUGUAUGGUACAGUGGCAAGAAGGAAGCCAUUACUCAAGAAAGCCCACCUUGAAUCCUGUUUUUAAGUAUGCAAAAAGAUACUAAUUCUGUAUCCAUGUGAAACAAGUUGUGGUCUGACAAAAUUGAACUUCUUGGUCUAAAUGCAAAGCAUUACGUUUGGUCGCAAACCUAACACGGUACAUCACCUAACGAAUACCAUCCUUACUGUGAAGCAUGGUGGUGGCAGCAUCAUGUUAUGGGGAUGUUUCUCAUCGUUAAGGUCUUAUCCAGAUAGAAGGGGAAAAGCCAGACAUUUUGCUUGUUUGUAGGUGACCAAAUACUUAUUUUCCACCAUAAUUAGCAAAUAAAUUCAUUAAAAAUACUACAAUGUGA